UGGGGAAUAUUGCGCAAUGGAGGAAACUCUGACGCAGCAACGCCGCGUGAGUGAAGAAGGUUUUCGGAUCGUAAAGCUCUGUCUUUGGGGAAGAAAAAAAUGACGGUACCCAAGGAGGAAGCCCCGGCUAACUACGUGCCAGCAGCCGCGGUAAUACGUAGGGGGCAAGCGUUGUCCGGAAUCACUGGGCGUAAAGAGCACGUAGGCGGUAUAUUAAGUUAGGUGUGAAAGUUUGCAGCUCAACUGUAAAAGUGCAUUUAAAACUGGUAUACUUGAGUAUCGGAGAGGUAAGCGGAAUUCCUAGUGUAGCGGUGAAAUGCGUAGAGAUUAGGAAGAACACCGGUGGCGAAGGCGGCUUACUGGACGAUCACUGACGCUCAGGUGCGAAAGCGUGGGGAGCAAACAGG
This 407-nucleotide ribosomal RNA is filed under the name uncultured bacterium. RNAcentral's name for it is "bacterial SSU rRNA". It matches the Rfam family "Bacterial small subunit ribosomal RNA", at positions 355 to 776 of the family's 1533-position model. The record is from RNAcentral.